This 285-nucleotide ribosomal RNA is filed under the name Triticum aestivum (bread wheat). Its description in RNAcentral is "partial small subunit ribosomal RNA". The record is from RNAcentral. Lineage: Eukaryota; Viridiplantae; Streptophyta; Magnoliopsida; Poales; Poaceae.
AUGGUUAGCUCAUGCCACUCCAAAAAAGCACCAACCAUGAUCAUAAAACUCGACUUUCGGAAAGCUUUUGACUCGCUAUCCUGGGAUUCUCUCCUCACCAUUCUUCACACAUGUGGUUUUCCCACCAAAUUCUUCGCUUGGGUUGCUGAUCAGUUGACCUCUGGAAAAGCCGUUGUCAUGCUAAACAGGGUUCCUGGCGACUGGAUCAACUGCAAAAAUGGUCUUAGACAAGGCGACCCACUCUCUCCCUACUCAUUUAUCAUUGUAGCCGACUUGCUACAAUAA